UGGGGAAUAUUGCACAAUGGGCGCAAGCCUGAUGCAGCCAUGCCGCGUGUAUGAAGAAGGCCUUCGGGUUGUAAAGUACUUUCAGCGGGGAGGAAGGGAGUAAAGUUAAUACCUUUGCUCAUUGACGUUACCCGCAGAAGAAGCACCGGCUAACUCCGUGCCAGCAGCCGCGGUAAUACGGAGGGUGCAAGCGUUAAUCGGAAUUACUGGGCGUAAAGCGCACGCAGGCGGUUUGUUAAGUCAGAUGUGAAAUCCCCGGGCUCAACCUGGGAACUGCAUCUAAUACUGGCUAGCUUGAGUCUCGUAGAGGGGGGUAGAAUUCCAGGUGUAGCGGUGAAAUGCGUAGAGAUCUGGAGGAAUACCGGUGGCGAAGGCGGCCCCCUGGACGAAGACUGACGCUCAGGUGCGAAAGCGUGGGGAGCAAACAGG
Molecule: ribosomal RNA, 429 nt
Filed under: Chloroflexota bacterium
Lineage: Bacteria; Bacillati; Chloroflexota
Description: Chloroflexi bacterium partial 16S ribosomal RNA
Rfam family: Bacterial small subunit ribosomal RNA
Source: RNAcentral